GCAGUAGCAGACUCCAGGGUGGCAUGUAUUGCCACCUUGCUAAGGAGAAAGUGGUCCAUCCCUGGGACCUGGCAGUGCAUGGGCCUCCCUGCCACUAUACGCACUUGGUGGUUCUCAGAAAUCUGUAACACAACGUUGUUGUCGAGCACAUACAGAGAGUUGUCCAUCGGGUUUACUGCCAGAUCCGUAGGCCAUUCAAGACGAACCUGAGAAAUGUCCAUGACAGAGUCACAGCUGAGAGGCCGAGCAGAUGUCAAGUCAUUGGAACCCAACACUGUUGAGAUGAUCCCAUUCUGAUCGAUCCGCCUGAUCAUAGUGCCAUCUACAAAGUAAA
Molecule: long non-coding RNA, 334 nt
Filed under: Gallus gallus (chicken)
Lineage: Eukaryota; Metazoa; Chordata; Aves; Galliformes; Phasianidae
Source: RNAcentral